This 102-nucleotide non-coding RNA is filed under the name unclassified sequences. Its description in RNAcentral is "DUF1874 RNA". It matches the Rfam family "DUF1874 RNA". From Rfam's summary of the family: Hot springs metagenome only. Environment (Bison Hot Springs, Yellowstone) The record is from RNAcentral.
GUAGGCCCGAGGUCAAGUUCUGGGAGUGGCCACUCAAGGUAAGAGGUGCCAGAGGCACCCGCCACUCCUGGUUCCAAAAGGGCUUGGCCUUAGGGCGGAGGA